CCCCCCUGCUCCGCUGCUCCCUCAACUCCAUCCGUCACACAGGUGUGGGUCUUGGUCCCUGGGCUCAGGUCGCCGCCGUGCUGCCACCGUGGACACCGUGGCCAUGCUCAGCUCCACCUCUGCCUGUCACUCAGGACGGGAGCUCGCCGCCACUAUGCUCAGCUCCACCUCCGCCUGUCACCCAAGAGGGGAACUCGCUGCCGCCGUCGUGGACUUCGAGGACGACGCCACCGUCGCCGUCGCCGUCGCCGCACCCUGUCAUGCGGAGGGAAGCCUGCUUUGGCUGUGGCUCCGCCCUGGCUCCCGUAGGGGUCGGUCGUCACCCUCCCCACUCUUCUGUGCCCUCCGAAUCGGCGUCCCACGUUUUUCCUCUCUGUCACCUCUUAACUCCU
Molecule: long non-coding RNA, 392 nt
Filed under: Spirodela polyrhiza (greater duckweed)
Lineage: Eukaryota; Viridiplantae; Streptophyta; Magnoliopsida; Alismatales; Araceae
Description: long non-coding RNA (SPOL_LNC001446)
Source: RNAcentral